RNAcentral lists this ribosomal RNA (899 nucleotides) under uncultured bacterium. RNAcentral's name for it is "bacterial SSU rRNA". It matches the Rfam family "Bacterial small subunit ribosomal RNA", at positions 21 to 897 of the family's 1533-position model. The record is from RNAcentral.
GGCUCAGAACGAACGCUGGCGGCGUGCCUAACACAUGCAAGUCGAGCGAGAAAGCCCGCAAGGGUGAGUACAGCGGCGCACGGGUGCGUAACACGUGGGUAAUCUGCCCUGGAACCCGGAAUAACCUCCCGAAAGGGAAGCUAAUACCGGAUAAGACCACGGGAGCCUCGGCUCCUGCGGGAAAAGGUGGCCUCUGCAUGCAAGCUAUCAUUUCAGGAUGAGCCCGCGGCCCAUCAGCUCGUUGGCGGGGUAACGGCCCACCAAGGCUACGACGGGUAGCUGGUCUGAGAGGACGAUCAGCCACACUGGAACUGAGACACGGUCCAGACUCCUACGGGAGGCAGCAGUGGGGAAUCUUGCGCAAUGGGCGAAAGCCUGACGCAGCAACGCCGCGUGUGUGAUGAAGGUCUUCGGAUCGUAAAGCACUGUCGGGAGGGACGAAUAAGGGCCAGGUGAACAAUCUGGUCCGAUGACGGUACCUCCAAAGGAAGCACCGGCUAACUCUGUGCCAGCAGCCGCGGUAAUACAGAGGGUGCAAGCGUUGUUCGGAAUUAUUGGGCGUAAAGCGCGUGUAGGCGGUCUCGCAAGUCGGAUGUGAAAGCCCUCGGCUUAACCGAGGAAGUGCGUUCGAAACUACGAGACUUGAGUGCCGGAGAGGGUGGCGGAAUUCCCGGUGUAGAGGUGAAAUUCGUAGAUAUCGGGAGGAACACCAGUGGCGAAGGCGGCCACCUGGACGGUAACUGACGCUGAGACGCGAAAGCGUGGGGAGCAAACAGGAUUAGAUACCCUGGUAGUCCACGCUGUAAACGAUGAGCGCUAGGUGUUGUGGGUGUUGACCCCCGCAGUGCCGCAGCUAACGCAUUAAGCGCUCCGCCUGGGAAGUACGGCCCGCAGGCUAA